UCCCCGUUACCGGGGCAGUCUGAUUAGAAAAAUCCAACUAAUCAUAAGGGUUGCGCUCGUUGAUGGACUUAACCAAACAUCUCACGACACGAGCUGACGACGGCCAUGCAACACCUGUCACUGAGUUCCGGGUUACAGCACACAAAAACUUUAUGUUUAUGUGCUCUAACCCGGCACUCGCUCCUUUCGGAGUGAUUCUCAGGAUGUCAAGUCUGGGUAAGGUUCUUCGCUUACCAUCGAAUUAAACAACACGCUCCACUGCUUGUGCGGCUCCCCGUCAAUUCCUUUGAGUUUUAGUCUUGCGACCGUACUCCCCAGGCGGAAUACUUAACGCGUUAGCUUCGCUACACACAGGGUCGAUUCUGCAUACAGCUAGUAUUCAUAGUUUACGGCGUGGACU
Molecule: unclassified non-coding RNA, 400 nt
Filed under: uncultured bacterium
Lineage: Bacteria
Description: contains 16S-23S intergenic spacer region
Source: RNAcentral